This 796-nucleotide ribosomal RNA is filed under the name uncultured bacterium. Its description in RNAcentral is "bacterial SSU rRNA". It matches the Rfam family "Bacterial small subunit ribosomal RNA", at positions 77 to 868 of the family's 1533-position model. The record is from RNAcentral.
CAAUACUGUGGGUGGCGAGUGGCGGACGGGUGAGGAAUACAUCGGAAUCUGCCCAGUCGUGGGGGAUAACAUAGGGAAACUUAUGCUAAUACCGCAUACGACCUACGGGUGAAAGCGGGGGAUCGCAAGACCUCGCGCGAUUGGAUGAGCCGAUGUCCGAUUAGCUAGUUGGCGGGGUAAUGGCCCACCAAGGCGACGAUCGGUAGCUGGUCUGAGAGGAUGAUCAGCCACACUGGAACUGAGACACGGUCCAGACUCCUACGGGAGGCAGCAGUGGGGAAUAUUGGACAAUGGGCGCAAGCCUGAUCCAGCCAUGCCGCGUGGGUGAAGAAGGCCUUCGGGUUGUAAAGCCCUUUUGUCCGGAAAGAAAAGCACUGGAUUAAUACUUCGGUGUUCUGACGGUACCGGAAGAAUAAGCACCGGCUAACUUCGUGCCAGCAGCCGCGGUAAUACGAAGGGUGCAAGCGUUACUCGGAAUUACUGGGCGUAAAGCGUGCGUAGGUGGUUCGUUAAGUCUGAUGUGGAAGCCCUGGGCUCAACCUGGGAAUUGCAUUGGAUACUGGCGGGCUAGAGUGCGGUAGAGGAUGGCGGAAUUCCCGGUGUAGCAGUGAAAUGCGUAGAGAUCGGGAGGAACAUCUGUGGCGAAGGCGGCCAUCUGGACCAGCACUGACACUGAGGCACGAAAGCGUGGGGAGCAAACAGGAUUAGAUACCCUGGUAGUCCACGCCCUAAACGAUGCGAACUGGAUGUUGGGUGCAACUAGGCACUCAGUAUCGAAGCUAACGCGUUAAGUUCG